GCACCAGUGCGAUCAGCACCUCGGAGACAACAAAGCUACACUUUCGAUUCAUCUCGAUCGACCACGGAUUCACAACAAAAUCCAACCUUCUUCCAAUAGAAGGAAACACACACACAAAUACAUAUAAAACAUGUAUUUUUAGAUUUUCUCGAAAUCCGUGCGUCAAACUCAAAAUCCAUCAGCGUCACUAGUUCCAGAACAGCUGAACCGGUCGAAAUGAGCUAUUGGACUGAUAUGAACGGAGUCCGAUACGCACCAGAAGCCAACUCUACUCCGUGGCUUCUCCGGAAAACCGGAGUUACUAUUCACUUAAGUGAAAACUAAAAAUCGCGUAUCUUCUCCAUUUUAGCUCAGUUUCUCCUGAAACUUGACGAGUCCUUAUGUAAUUAAAUUACACACAUAAACAUCAUCAACAGAGAGUUUAGUUGUACUGUCAAAAAAAUCUCAGUCCUUACAGUGAAUCAUCAUCAUCGACAGGUUAC
Molecule: long non-coding RNA, 482 nt
Filed under: Ananas comosus (pineapple)
Lineage: Eukaryota; Viridiplantae; Streptophyta; Magnoliopsida; Poales; Bromeliaceae
Description: long non-coding RNA (ACOM_LNC031337)
Source: RNAcentral